UCCCUGGUGGUCCAGUGGUUAGGACGCGGCGUUUACACUGCCGUGGCCUGGGUUCAAUCCCUGGUCGGGGAA
Delphinapterus leucas (beluga whale) is the source of this 72-nucleotide non-coding RNA. The record is from the annotation of a RefSeq genome assembly. NCBI's taxonomy places the organism in Eukaryota, Metazoa, Chordata, Mammalia, Artiodactyla, Monodontidae.